AUCCACAGCGCACGCCUGCGUAAAAAAAGCGAUUCCAACAAUACCAAAUUGUUGGGCAACAUCAAGAACCCAUGGAAGGAAAGCGUCAUAGAGUAUGCAAUCAAUAGGAUGAGGUGAGUUCUUAUGCUUUAUGAUAAGUUCGGUCAAGGUUUUUGACCCAACAGCUUGUAAUCGUACAAGGUAAUCGUCAAUAUCCCCGAGUGCAAAGAAUCCCUCUUUAUCACAACCGUCUGAUAUCGUGUCGAAAUCGAUUUCGGAGUUGAGCAAUUCGGGUUUCAUGGUUUCAGAGAUGAAGACAGUGGUGGCAAAGGUUGCUUUGAGUCCUUUGGAGGAUAAGCGUUUGGAGAAUUGAAGCAUUGGGUUAAUAUGGCCUUGCGUCGAAUAAGGAAUGACCAAUACAUGACCCCUUUUGUUAACUUUUUUCUCCAUUUGCUUUUGUUCUCCAAUAUAAUUUAUGAU
This 459-nucleotide long non-coding RNA is filed under the name Gossypium barbadense (sea-island cotton). RNAcentral describes it as "long non-coding RNA (GBAR_LNC013843)". Lineage: Eukaryota; Viridiplantae; Streptophyta; Magnoliopsida; Malvales; Malvaceae. The record is from RNAcentral.